This 389-nucleotide ribosomal RNA is filed under the name Embryophyta sp. RNAcentral's name for it is "partial small subunit ribosomal RNA". It matches the Rfam family "Eukaryotic small subunit ribosomal RNA", at positions 582 to 975 of the family's 1831-position model. Lineage: Eukaryota; Viridiplantae; Streptophyta. The record is from RNAcentral.
AUUCCAGCUCCAAUAGCGUAUAUUUAAGUUGUUGCAGUUAAAAGGCUCGUAGUUAGAUCUUGGGUCGUAAGGGUCGGUCCGCCUACUCGGUGUGCACCUACCCUUCCAUCCCUUUUGUCGGCGGCGUGCUCCUGACCUUAAUUGGUUGGGUCGCGGUUCUGGCAUUGUUACUUUGAAAAAAUUAGAGCGCUCAAAGCAAGCUUAUGCUCUGAAUACAUUAGCAUGGAAUAACGUGAUAGGAGUCUGGUCCUAUUGUGUUGGCCUUCGGGACUGGAGUAAGGAUUAAUAGGGACUGUUGGGGGCAUUCGUAUUUCAGUGUCAAAGGCGAAAUUCUUGGACUUAUGAAAGAUGGACCACUGCGAAAUCAUUUGCUGAGGAUGUUUUCAUUA